CGUAAGGGGCGAGCGUUGUUCGGAAUUAUUGGGCGUAAAGGGCACGCAGGCGGUUUUGCAAGUCCGAUGUUAAAGACCUGGGCUUAACUCAGGGGAUGCGUUGGAAACUGCAAGACUAGAAUCUUGGAGGGGGAGUCGGAAUUCCUAGUGUAGGGGUGAAAUCUGUUGAUAUUAGGAAGAACACCGGUGGCGAAGGCGGACUCCUGGCCGAAGAUUGACGCUGAGGUGCGAAAGCAUAGGGAGCAAACAGGAUUAGAUACCCUCGGUAGUCUAUGCUGUAAACGAUGUGCACUUGGUGUUGGGUCCGAUUAGGUUCAGUGUCCGAAGCUAACGCGAUAAAGUGCACCGCCUGGGGAGUAUGCUCGCAAGGGUG
RNAcentral lists this ribosomal RNA (373 nucleotides) under uncultured organism. Its description in RNAcentral is "bacterial SSU rRNA". It matches the Rfam family "Bacterial small subunit ribosomal RNA", at positions 526 to 896 of the family's 1533-position model. The record is from RNAcentral.